CCUACGGGUGGCAGCAGUAGGGAAUAUUGCACAAUGGGGGAAACCCUGAUGCAGCAACGCCGCGUGAGUGAAGAAGGUAUUCGGUAUGUAAAGCUCUAUCAGCAGGGAAGAAAAUGACGGUACCUGAGUAAGAAGCCCCGGCUAACUACGUGCCAGCAGCCGCGGUAAUACGUAGGGGGCAAGCGUUAUCCGGAUUUACUGGGUGUAAAGGGGGCGUAGGCGGGAUUGCAAGUCUGGAGUGAAAGGCGGGGGCUCAACCACCGGACUGCUCUGGAAACUGUACGGCUGGAGUGCAGGAGAGGUAAGUGGAAUUCCUGGUGUAGCGGUGAAAUGCGUAGAUAUUAGGAGGAACACCAGUGGCGAAGGCGGCUUACUGGACUGUAACUGACGCUGAGGCUCGAAAGCGUGGGGAGCAAACAGGAUUAGAUACCCUAGUAGUC
This 440-nucleotide ribosomal RNA is filed under the name uncultured bacterium. Its description in RNAcentral is "partial 16S ribosomal RNA". It matches the Rfam family "Bacterial small subunit ribosomal RNA", at positions 338 to 795 of the family's 1533-position model. The record is from RNAcentral.